GACGAACGCUGGCGGCGUGCUUAACACAUGCAAGUCGAACGGAAAGGCCCUGCGUUUGUGGGGUGCUCGAGUGGCGAACGGGUGAGUAACACGUGAGUAACCUGCCCUUGACUUUGGGAUAACUUCAGGAAACUGGGGCUAAUACCGGAUAGGAGCUCCUGCUGCAUGGUGGGGGUUGGAAAGUUUCGGCGGUUGGGGAUGGACUCGCGGCUUAUCAGCUUGUUGGUGGGGUAGUGGCUUACCAAGGCUUUGACGGGUAGCCGGCCUGAGAGGGUGACCGGCCACCUUGGGCCUGAGAUACGGCCCAGACUCCUACGGGAGACAGCAGUGGGGAAUAUUGCACAAUGGGCGGAAGCCUGAUGCAGCAACGCCGCGUGCGGGAUGACGGCCUUCGGGUUGUAAACCGCUUUCGCCUGUGACGAAGCGUGAGUGACGGUAAUGGGUAAAGAAGCACCGGCUAACUACGUG
This 468-nucleotide ribosomal RNA is filed under the name uncultured bacterium. RNAcentral describes it as "partial 16S ribosomal RNA". It matches the Rfam family "Bacterial small subunit ribosomal RNA", at positions 28 to 507 of the family's 1533-position model. The record is from RNAcentral.